AUGGAUAGUCUUCUCCAUUGGGACUUUUCCCCUGGUUUGGUGACCGAAUCUCAGGUACGUGCCAAGUUCCAAUCUACGGUGCACUUCUCAUCGGCCAACCCCAGAUCGAAGGAAUUCUUCCUCGUGGUUUCAUUCUCCUUGGCAUCAUUCACGUUAACGGAAGAAUCUGUGGCCCUGGCUUUACAAUCAUGUAUUGGU
This 198-nucleotide ribosomal RNA is filed under the name Triticum aestivum (bread wheat). RNAcentral describes it as "partial small subunit ribosomal RNA". The record is from RNAcentral. Lineage: Eukaryota; Viridiplantae; Streptophyta; Magnoliopsida; Poales; Poaceae.